RNAcentral lists this ribosomal RNA (368 nucleotides) under uncultured bacterium. RNAcentral's name for it is "bacterial SSU rRNA". It matches the Rfam family "Bacterial small subunit ribosomal RNA", at positions 27 to 396 of the family's 1533-position model. The record is from RNAcentral.
GGACGAACGCUGGCGGCGUGCUUAACACAUGCAAGUCGAGCGGUAAGGCCCUUUCGGGGGUACACGAGCGGCGAACGGGUGAGUAACACGUGGGUGACCUGCCCUUAGCUCUGGGAUAAGCCUGGGAAACUGGGUCUAAUACCGGAUAUGACUCCAUGACGCAUGUUGUGGGGUGAAAGCCUUGUGCGGCUAGGGAUGGGCCCGCGGCCUAUCAGCUUGUUGGUGGGGUGAUGGCCUACCAAGGCGACGACGGGUAGCCGGCCUGAGAGGGCGACCGGCCACACUGGGACUGAGACACGGCCCAGGACUCCUACGGGAGGCAGCAGUGGGGAAUCUUGCGCAAUGGGCGAAAGCCUGACGCAGCGACG